Molecule: long non-coding RNA, 1024 nt
Organism: Quercus robur (English oak)
Lineage: Eukaryota; Viridiplantae; Streptophyta; Magnoliopsida; Fagales; Fagaceae
Exons: 3
Source: RefSeq, a predicted model, not a curated record
UUUUCUCUUGUCAACUAAACAAUGGAGAAAUAAGUUUUUGAGCACAAUCAAAUCUAACUUGAUUAAGAUUUAGUCAGUUGUAGGCCAAUCUAAGAAUUAAGUCCAAAUUAAAGUGAUUAACCAAUUAACAUAAGAAUACAGAAAUCAAAACUAAGCAUGGAUAAGCAAAUAAAAUGAAUAGCCCACAGAAAUCAAAACUACAAUAACACAGCCAUAACACAUGGAUGUGCUAUUGAAGAGGAAAACUCAAGAAUUGGACGGAAAAACCCCUUUGUGGUCUUACUGCCGAAACCAAUCUACUAGAAUAGAUAGUUGCAGUGCAUAAUAUCUAUGUACUCAAGCCCUCUAAGCUUUUGCUUUCAGUUGACUUCGCAAUUCCUUUCUCUACUCUACCAUCUGGAUUUGUGACUGAGCUCUAAUUGCAACUUCAAGCCACCAUGGCUAAUUUUGGGUUGCUCCAAUGAUUCCUAAGGCACUAAUCAACACUCAUAAAUCUUGAGAUAAUGAAGAAUAUGAUGGUAUCAAUCUCCACAGAAUUCACCAAUUUGCAGUUGCUUCCUGGGAUUCGAGCCAAAGAAUAUCAAAGAAUGGAAUUGUGGCAAUUGGACUAGUAGAAGUGUUAGGAGGACUCCGUUGCAGUGUGAGAGGGUGAACACUGGUGGUGAAGGAGACAAAAAAGAUGGGUUUUUGAAACUGAAGAUGAUGAAAGUGACAGACUUUGCAGAUUGGUCAAUUGCUUUCCAAAACAAAUGCAGAGAGCAGUGCUUGGAGAAUUGUUCUUGUAUAGCAUAUGUAUAUGAAACUGGCAUUGGUUGUAUGUCUUGGAUUGAUAAACAAAUUGAUACAAAGCAAUUGUCCAGUUCUGGAGUUGAACUUUACAUUCAUUUGGCCUACUCAGAACUUGAUAAAGUGGGAGAUGUGAAAAAAAAAACUGUCACAAUCACUGAUUUACAGGAACAAUUUUCCUUUCCAUCUGGACUUAUUUACUGUGGAGGUGGAUGGCAAAGCAAAAAGAGAAGAAGCA